UGUUAGUCUCGUUCUUCUCGACAGUGUGACUCACCAGGAUGUCAAAGGUGAGCUUGUAAUCCGCUGGAAGUUGCUGUGGAACCAUAACCCAUUCAGAGAAAACAACCUACCUUUCUGUGGUCAAGAACCAUGGCCUCAGACUGAAGCUCAAGACAACAAUUUGUGAAUAUUUACUAAACUAAAACGGAGGGAUCCCAGGUAAAAGAAUAAGACCAUUUACUGUUCAUUGGAGGUCACAUCUAUUAGUGUAAAAUGAAGAAGAAAAAGAACUCUUGAAGAUCAUCUAGCAGAUAGAUACUUAUCCAUUAGGUUUUACACAUUGACCAGGCAGAUCUCUUCAUGGUCACGUUUUACUUUCAGUUCUCUGAGGGUGAGUUUAUAGACAGUAUCAUUGAACUCUGCUGAGGGCCCCGCCCUAGAAAAAAUGAAGAAUUAUAAAAUCAGGUGUCAACCCAAGAGAAGCAUUCCCACCAGGACAGCAGUGAAGCAAUAGUAGAGAUGGUUUGGCCCUCCAGGCAUACCAUGCAGGGCUCUGUGGAGGGUGCCAUCUUGUGUCUGCGUGUUUUUUUCUUGCAAGCACGAGGCAGAGAAGGAGCUGCGUGACCAGCAGAGAAAGAUCGGCAGUGUUAUAGACGGAAGAAGAAAAAUAAGUUAAAGAAUUAAAAGAAGCUACUUUUUGUUUUUUGAGAUCGGUUACGUUGUGUGCCGAAAGAACAUUUUCAGAGCGGCUACGUUGUGAACGCGUCGUGUUUAAGAAUUCUUGGAAACUCCGGUGAGUAGGAAAGAGUUGUAUAUGGAGUUGACGGUUAUGUUUUAAAUUAAAUUCUGUUAAAAAGGGGAACAAAACAAUUUGGAGUAUGUAGAAAAUGUUAAUUUGUGUAUUAACUGUGUUAUUAAUGUUUACUUUAUUUGAUUUCUUUCUGGUAUACAUAUGCGUGAAUAUGUAAUUUUUGAAAAGUUAAUUGAAAAGGUGGUUGAAGUAUUCAUUGUUUAAAAAGAAUUGUAUUAUACCAUGGUUAUAAUAAUUUUAUUUGUUAAAACUUUAUUCAUACAGUUAUUUUUUCAGAUUUGUGGAAAGGGAAAUUCCUUUUACUAAUAGUAAUACUUGUUAAAAGGAUUACUGAAUUUUUUGUUUGUAAAUUGGUUUUGGUGAACUACUAAAAAAAAGAAAACCAUAAAAACAAUUUCCAAAUUACAGGGAAAAGAUACUGAGUUUAUUGAAAGAUGAGAUCUCACUUGAACUAUAGAUUAUAAUGUGUCUGAUUUAUUCUGUACUAUGUGCAGAAUUGUUUUGAUGACCCUCAAUUGUAGCUCGGACUACAAUUCUUCAUUGGAAGUCGAUGGCGAGCCAGGCGUAGAACGAGAGUAUCCUGUUGAAGAUUGAAGUACAGUGUGGCAGCUGUUACUGAUUCCCAUCAACAGGAUUGAACCCAAUCUGACAGGACAAGAGAUAAGGAAUAUUCCUAUGCACAUUCACUUAUCAUACCCGGGUAGAGAACAAAUUGAGUGCACAAACGAGACAAAGGACAAUUUAUUUUAUACUAUUUUUUUAUAAAGCUGAUUUAUUUUGUAAAAGAAAUUCAGUUUAGGAAGAAAUUAUUGUUUAUGUUGUUGUUCUAUUUUGUGUUGUGAAAGGUAAUGGAAUAAACCUGCCCUCUGUUAUUUAAA
Molecule: non-coding RNA, 1668 nt
Organism: Oryzias latipes (Japanese medaka)
Lineage: Eukaryota; Metazoa; Chordata; Actinopteri; Beloniformes; Adrianichthyidae
Source: RefSeq, a predicted model, not a curated record